GGACUCGAAGAUGAAUUUGAUGACAAUUUGAGCCACGUUCACGAUCUCUUGCAAGAGCCUGAGGCAGUAGAUGAGGAGUUAAAUAUUUAUGACAAGAAAUGUUAUGAUGGAAACAAUGAUUUGCGGGGAAAUAAAAAUAAGCAAGAUGCUGAGAAAUUGGCGAUUGAAUUACUAGCAACAAGAGCCUUCACUGCAGUCCAGCUAAGGAAGAAAUUGAUUGGCA
Molecule: unclassified non-coding RNA, 223 nt
Filed under: Hevea brasiliensis (rubber tree)
Lineage: Eukaryota; Viridiplantae; Streptophyta; Magnoliopsida; Malpighiales; Euphorbiaceae
Source: RNAcentral